UUUCCGUAGGUGAACCUGCGGAAGGAUCAUUAACACAACUUUACCCAAUCUUUUAUCACACACCCCAAAGCGAACGAUUGUUUGGAGAUCGAGUUUCGACUCUUUUUCCGCAUUUUUCUCUUCUUCCUUUUUUCACAAACCCCAAUUUAACACUUCCGACUGAAACUAAAAAACAAAAAAACAAAACAACUAAGAAACAACUCUUAGCAACGGAUAUCUUGGCUCUCGCAUCGAUGGAACGCAGC
RNAcentral lists this unclassified non-coding RNA (245 nucleotides) under plant metagenome. RNAcentral's name for it is "partial contains small subunit ribosomal RNA, internal transcribed spacer 1, and 5.8S ribosomal RNA". The record is from RNAcentral.